UACGGGGGGGGCAAGCGUUGUUCGGAAUUACUGGGCGUAAAGGGCUCGUAGGCGGCCAACUAAGUCGGAUGUGAAAUUCCCAGGCUCAACCUGGGAACUGCAUCCGAUACUGGAUGGCUUGAAUUCGGGAGAGGGAUGCAGAAUUCCAGGUGUAGCGGUGAAAUGCGUAGAUAUCUGGAGGAAUACCGGUGGCGAAGGCGGCAUCCUGGACCGACAUUGACGCUGAGGAGCGAAAGCCAGGGGAGCAAACGGG
This 253-nucleotide ribosomal RNA is filed under the name uncultured bacterium. RNAcentral describes it as "partial 16S ribosomal RNA". It matches the Rfam family "Bacterial small subunit ribosomal RNA", at positions 524 to 776 of the family's 1533-position model. The record is from RNAcentral.